Molecule: transfer RNA, 73 nt
Filed under: Ktedonobacteraceae bacterium
Lineage: Bacteria; Bacillati; Chloroflexota; Ktedonobacteria; Ktedonobacterales; Ktedonobacteraceae
Description: tRNA-Arg
Rfam family: tRNA
About the family: Transfer RNA (tRNA) molecules are approximately 80 nucleotides in length.
Source: RNAcentral
GCGCCCAUAGCUCAGUGGAUAGAGCAAUGGUCUUCUAAACCAUUGGCCGCAGGUUCGAAUCCUGCUGGGCGCG